Molecule: ribosomal RNA, 372 nt
Filed under: uncultured organism
Description: partial 16S ribosomal RNA
Rfam family: Bacterial small subunit ribosomal RNA
Source: RNAcentral
GUAGGUGGCAAGCGUUGUCCGGAAUUAUUGGGCGUAAAGCGCGCGCAGGCGGUUCUUUAAGUCUGAUGUGAAAGCCCACGGCUCAACCGUGGAGGGUCAUUGGAAACUGGAGAACUUGAGUACAGAAGAGGAAAGCGGAAUCCCACGUGUAGCGGUGAAAUGCGUAGAGAUGUGGAGGAACACCAGUGGCGAAGGCGGCUUUCUGGUCUGUAACUGACGCUGAGGCGCGAAAGCGUGGGGAGCAAACAGGAUUAGAUACCCUGGUAGUCCACGCCGUAAACGAUGAGUGCUAAGUGUUAGGGGGUUUCCGCCCCCCUUAGUGCUGCAGCUAACGCAUUAAGCACUCCGCCUGGGAGUACGGCCGCAAGGCUG